GCCAGGCAUGGUGGUGCAUGCCUGUAACCCCAGCAGCUUGGGAGGCUGAGGCAGGAGGAUUGUGAGUUCAAAGGCAACCUCAGCAAAAAAAAAAAAAAAUGUGCUACGCAACUCAAGUGAGAUCCUAUCUCUA
RNAcentral lists this small RNA (133 nucleotides) under Marmota monax (woodchuck). Lineage: Eukaryota; Metazoa; Chordata; Mammalia; Rodentia; Sciuridae. The record is from RNAcentral.